GGCGGGGGCCGGCCGGCCGGAGCGACCCACGAGCCAGAGCGGACGCGGUACCUGCUGCGGCCCCUCGGCGCGGACGGGUCCUUCUUCCCGUGGUUCGCCGGGGGAGGGAGCCGCGGCGGCGGCGGCGGGCGGGUCCCGCCGCCGUCCCCCUCCCUGUCCGAGCUGAGGGAGAGCGCCCUGAUGGUGCUAAACGAGUUCCUUUGACUCCGCUUCUUCUCCUCCGAUCUCGCGUAUUUGGUCGCUUUCGAACCUGACGAGCGGCUUCAGUUUAAGAACGCCUCCUUCAUGUCAAGCAAACGGUUACUACUAAGUCUCGUUUGUGUAGUGUCCGAUUUCUUCUUCUUUCGAUUCGUUUAGGGUAGGGGAGACCCCUAGUUACUUCCCGGCAGGUGAUCGUUCUUGUGUUUACACCUGAACUUAGUACUAAGACGUUACUUACGACUCCCUCGGCCAAAGGUCCCCAUGGUCCUGGUAGGUCUUGGACCCUUCGUACUAGUCCGACCACAUCUACUUCUAUACUACUGGAGGUUAUAGUUCAAUAGUCAAAUAUCCCUAUGUCUUUUAAGGGGCCGGUCACUACUAUUCUCCCGUCGGCGUACCGUUCUGGCCCAUCGGAACGUCCAGAUCAGGGCGGCAUCUUUACCCAUACCGUACCGUAGGAAGAGACCACCAACUGACGUGGGGACGGACCAAAGCAGUUUAUAACGGGCCACGAGACAUUUACUUGUUAACUAUAUUCCUAUGAGUACGAAGUACAAAUGUCAAGUACGAGACAUCUCCGUACCUGACUCUAUCAAACUGUGUGAAUCUGUUCAAGCUAGGAUAAUGUUACAAUGCUUUGUAGGUCGGACCUAAAGCUCAAUGCCAAGAAACGGAUACGAAAAAGAAA
RNAcentral lists this ribosomal RNA (889 nucleotides) under Triticum aestivum (bread wheat). Its description in RNAcentral is "partial small subunit ribosomal RNA". Lineage: Eukaryota; Viridiplantae; Streptophyta; Magnoliopsida; Poales; Poaceae. The record is from RNAcentral.